Macadamia integrifolia is the source of this 507-nucleotide long non-coding RNA. RefSeq lists it as uncharacterized. The record is from RefSeq and is a predicted model, not a curated record. The transcript has 3 exons. Lineage: Eukaryota; Viridiplantae; Streptophyta; Magnoliopsida; Proteales; Proteaceae.
GGCUGUUCUGUCGGGGGUGUUUCGUUUCAAGUAAUAGAUAUUGAAAUGUUCGUUCCCAAUAAUUCUCUGGGUCCGCGAUAGAGAGAGGAGAGAAGAGAGAACCCAGCUCGCCCCCGAAUCUGAAAUCUCCAGAGCAAGUAUUGGGAACAAAUUUAGGGGUUUUUUGGACCACCUAUGACUGACUCUAGAUUCCAGAGAUAGAGAUCGAUAAGCUUCAAUGUUUUGAGGAGAGAAUAUAUUUUGGAACAAUCGUUCCCGAUAAUUCCAGAGUCCGAGCAUAGAGAGAGGAGAGAAGAGAGGAGAGAAGAGGGAAGAGGAGCUCGACCCCUUGUGAAAUCUCCAGUGCAGAGCAGGUAUUAGGACCAAUUUUAGGGUUUUUUUGGACCACCUAUGACUGACUCUAGAUUCCAGAGAUAGAGAUCGAUAAGCUUCAACGUUUUGAGGAGAGAUUUGUCUGCAACCCUCAAAUAUUUCCCUAAAAGGUCUUCAUCAUCGUAUAGCUCAUAG